CUCAAAGGAAUUGACGGGGCCGCACAAGCGGUGGAGUAUGUGGUUUAAUUCGAUGCAACGCGAAGAACCUUACCUGGUCUUGACAUCCCGGAGACCCUUAGGAAACUAGGGGGUGCUUCCAUCUGGAAGAAUCUGGAGACAGGUGCUGCAUGGCUGUCGUCAGCUCGUGUCGUGAGAUGUUGGGUUAAGUCCCGCAACGAGCGCAACCCUUGCCUUUAGUUGCCAGCAGUUCGGCUGGGCACUCUAAAGGGACUGCCGGUGUUAAACCGGAGGAAGAUGGGGAUGACGUCAAGUCCUCAUGGCCUUUAUGACCAGGGCUACACACGUACUACAAUGGCCGAUACAAAGGGCAGCGACACUGCGAGGUGAAGCCAAUCCCGUAAAAUCGGUCUCAGUCCGGAUUGGAGUCUGCAACUCGACUCCAUGAAGUUGGAAUCGCUAGUAAUCGUGGAUCAGCAUGCCACGGUGAAUACGUUCCCGGGCCUU
Molecule: ribosomal RNA, 486 nt
Filed under: uncultured Desulfobulbus sp.
Lineage: Bacteria; Pseudomonadati; Thermodesulfobacteriota; Desulfobulbia; Desulfobulbales; Desulfobulbaceae
Description: bacterial SSU rRNA
Rfam family: Bacterial small subunit ribosomal RNA
Source: RNAcentral